Molecule: ribosomal RNA, 497 nt
Filed under: uncultured bacterium
Lineage: Bacteria
Description: partial 16S ribosomal RNA
Rfam family: Bacterial small subunit ribosomal RNA
Source: RNAcentral
GACGAACGCUGGCGGCGUGCCUAAUACAUGCAAGUAGAACGCUGAAGAGAGGAGCUUGCUCUUCUUGGAUGAGUUGCGAACGGGUGAGUAACGCGUAGGUAACCUGCCUUGUAGCGGGGGAUAACUAUUGGAAACGAUAGCUAAUACCGCAUAACAAUGGAUGACCCAUGUCAUUUAUUUGAAAGGGGCAAAUGCUCCACUACAAGAUGGACCUGCGUUGUAUUAGCUAGUAGGUGAGGUAACGGCUCACCUAGGCGACGAUACAUAGCCGACCUGAGAGGGUGAUCGGCCACACUGGGACUGAGACACGGCCCAGACUGCUACGGGAGGCAGCAGUAGGGAAUCUUCGGCAAUGGGGGCAACCCUGACCGAGCAACGCCGCGUGAGUGAAGAAGGUUUUCGGAUCGUAAAGCUCUGUUGUAAGUCAAGAACGAGUGUGAGAGUGGAAAGUUCACACUGUGACGGUAGCUUACCAGAAAGGGACGGCUAACUACGUG